UACGUAGGUGGCAAGCGUUGUCCGGAUUUACUGGGCGUAAAGAGCGCGCAGGCGGUCGUUCCAGUCGCGUGUGAAAGCCCCCGGCUCAACUGGGGAGGGUCACGCGAUACUGUUCGACUCGAAGGCAGGAGAGGGAAGUGGAAUUCCCGGUGUAGUGGUGAAAUGCGUAGAUAUCGGGAGGAACACCAGUGGCGAAGGCGACUUCCUGGCCUGUUCUUGACGCUGAGGCGCGAAAGCUAGGGUAGCAAACGGG
RNAcentral lists this ribosomal RNA (253 nucleotides) under uncultured bacterium. RNAcentral's name for it is "partial 16S ribosomal RNA". It matches the Rfam family "Bacterial small subunit ribosomal RNA", at positions 524 to 776 of the family's 1533-position model. The record is from RNAcentral.